Molecule: long non-coding RNA, 956 nt
Filed under: Elaeis guineensis (African oil palm)
Lineage: Eukaryota; Viridiplantae; Streptophyta; Magnoliopsida; Arecales; Arecaceae
Description: long non-coding RNA (EGUI_LNC029055)
Source: RNAcentral
CUCUCUCUCUCUCUCUCUCUCUCUCGCUCGCUCGAUAUGUUUCUUGUAGUGGAGACUACUGGAGAAAACCUUUUGUUUCUGGGCUUGAAGUAGGUAGGAGAUGGAAGAGGAGCAGAAAAGAGAGUGGGGGAAGGGGAGAUCUCUCUUUUUCUCUCUUCUACUCGGCUUUCUUGGUAUGAUUUGGAUGUGAGCUAGUGUUGGUUUUUGUUAGCAGGUCUCAAAGUAGGAAUUGGAGUGGAAAGGAAGGGGAGAGGUUUCUUUGAUUUUCUUGUCUUUUUUGUUUUGGUGUUCGGGUAGAUUUUUCUUCUUAGUUCCAAUUCUGUUUGUUGGUUGAUAUGGCUUGGAUGUUGGGAUUUGGGACUAUUGAUAUGGGUUUUUUGUUUUCUUUUAAUUUUUUUUCUCUUUGGUUUGAGAGAGAUGGGGACUGAGGGAGAGGAGCGUGGACAAUUGGAGCUGACCCCAUCUGUGGGGGCACUGACAAUAGCUGCUGCUGCUGGUGAUGGAGGCUUUUGGCUUCUCAAAUAACAACCAAGUACCACCACAACAACGCCGUCACCUCACCAUCUCACCCUUCCAUAAUCUGUCCAUCUCUUAUUUUUCUUCUCCUCUUUAUAUCUCUCGCUUUCAUGCAAGUGUAACCAUAGUCAAGAGGGAAGAUUAGUAUAUAUGUGACCAGCUUCGUUGGUGGGUCUCUCCCUCUCCCUCUUCCUCUCUUUUUAUCUAUCUACCUGACAGCGUGUGACUAUCCAUCUGGUACUAGUUGCUGUGGAGGCUCUUUAUAGCUGUUGGCUUCUUUACGUACGGAGGUGCAGAGAUGGGUGUGAUAGUGGUCCUGGAGAUGUUUUUGGUGAUCAGGAUGAGCGGGGAUGCGCAUGGGACCCUUUUUAUAAAAAAAAUAAAUAAAUAAUUUGGGGUAUACGUGUUUUUUCCACCCUUUUGUCUUGAGUUUCAUUAUG